RNAcentral lists this ribosomal RNA (253 nucleotides) under uncultured bacterium. Its description in RNAcentral is "partial 16S ribosomal RNA". It matches the Rfam family "Bacterial small subunit ribosomal RNA", at positions 524 to 776 of the family's 1533-position model. The record is from RNAcentral.
UACGUAGGGUGCAAGCGUUGUCCGGAAUUAUUGGGCGUAAAGAGCUCGUAGGCGGUUUGUCGCGUCUGCUGUGAAAUCCCGAGGCUCAACCUCGGGCCUGCAGUGGAUACGGGCAGGCUCGAGUUCGGUAGGGGAGACUGGAAUUCCUGGUGUAGCGGUGAAAUGCGCAGAUAUCAGGAGGAACACCGGUGGCGAAGGCGGGUCUCUGGGCCGAUACUGACGCUGAGGAGCGAAAGCGUGGGGAGCAAACAGG